UGCACUUUUUAACAAUUAAUCAUUUGAUACCCAAAAUAACAAAUUUUGCUAGGCCAUACUUUAUGGGAUUUUAUGUUUUCGAAUUAUACUCGUUACAUGUAGAGUAAAAAAAUAUACUAGAUUCUUUAAAAAGUAUGUAAGUAUAUUCUCGAUCAGAAUUACUAGCUGAUUCAUUCGAGCCAUGUCCAUAUAAGGUUUUGUUCUCGGGAAUUGUUUUAUUUUUUUUUAUUUUAAUUAUGCAUACGUGGAAUUCCAACUCACCCAAUUGGGCGCGCCGGCUAACUACAGUUAGUUGUGUCUAAAUUUAUAACAAUAACAUACAAGGGCACAAUCACAUAUAACAAGUGGCAUACAUGUCAGGGACCGAGCCUCCUCAUAGGAGAUCGGAGAACGAGGUCCCUCGGUUGUCUUCUGUUAAGCCACAGUGGAGGGCGAGUACUGCCCAGGGCGUUUGCCCUUAGCCUUUCAUGGUCGACUCAGGUGCUUGUUAAAUUCAUCAAAUACCGAUUUAAAUCUUUGUGCAGGGUGGUGUUUCGCACAAACCACUCUCAACCAGUAACCAGUCUCGCAGACCUGUUCUCCAUAACCUAGGCCCCUUUGUAUAUACAUAGUCACCUUAUUUAGUCAUGACAUUUUACUGCGAGACCCUAGUAGUCAAUAGUGCUUUGCAAUCGUAGCACGUAUGCGUGUAAAGUCUGCGAUCCAGAGUUACUCCAAGAUACUUGGCCGUGUUCGGUUCAAGUAUCGGGGCCUCCUCAAUAUAAACAGCUGGUGGUGUGUUUGCCGCUUUUUCUCCCAAUAUUCCAGCGCCUGCCGCAGUCCGAGAAACUUGUUGCUUAGUCCUGUAUGACUUCAGCAGCCUCAAGCUUGUAACUUGUAAAGUAAUGGGCAUAGUUUGUUAAACUAUUAAUGCAUGAGAAUAUGUACAUACGUGUGCGCACAUAAAGUGGUCGGAUGUCGCGGUAUGCGUACAAGAGAGCUGCUGGCUCUAGAGCUAUCUGCUCUCUGUCUACCCUGGAAACAGGGAGGGCUAAGCUCUGAGAUCGUGUGCAAAAUAAUCAUAUGGCGUAACGUAUAUGGCAAACGGCCAAUUUAAGGCAGAGAUAUAGCAUUUUUGAAUAAAAUAUAUUUAGAACGUAACAUUUUCAAUUUAAUCGCAGUAAAAUUAACAAAGCUAAAGGUCUUAAGCAACACAGAUCAUGUGAUCAUUUAACGGAUAGCGUAUAACAGAAAUGGACAAAGAUGUGCAAGUAAAAAUCGAAGACGAUCCAAAACACGUACAAGCAAAGCAGCUGUCAACGAUUAAGUGAACAUUCAAAAUGGCCAAGCCUGUCGUAACCUGCAAAAAUUCAAAAUUCGCCAUACUUUUUUAACAUACCUCGUAUGUCUCAGGAUUCUGCAUUCGUAAACUUAAUAAUCUGUAUUUUGUAGUUCCGGAUAUCUAGGCGUUUAUAUGGACAUACGGUAAUUGCCAGAACGACUCGGCUAGUGAUCCUGAUCAAUAAUAUAUAUACUUUCUAAGGAAACGCUAUCUUCUUCCUGUUACAUCCUAUUGAACGAUUUUAGUAUGCCCUCGUACUUUACAAGUAUGGGGUAAGUUUACUUAGAUUAACCAUAUUAGACGUAGAAAUCGAUAUUUCAUAGUCAUGUGUCAGAGAAUAAAAUAAAUAAAUAAAUUGGA
This is a long non-coding RNA of Drosophila santomea, 1681 nucleotides long. RefSeq lists it as uncharacterized. The transcript has 2 exons. The record is from RefSeq and is a predicted model, not a curated record. NCBI's taxonomy places the organism in Eukaryota, Metazoa, Arthropoda, Insecta, Diptera, Drosophilidae.